UCAAUUAUCUUGAACAAGAUCUGUGCUAUAAGUUGUACAUCUGUUUCCAUUAACACAAUGGAGACACGCACAACAAUGUAGAAGAUGAUAUAUUGCCACUUGCUGGAUCUAUCUCCACAGAGGAUCACUGUCUUAGCUGAUGGCUGAUAAGAUGGCCAUGUGGCAGUCUGCCAGAUC
RNAcentral lists this small nucleolar RNA (177 nucleotides) under Amborella trichopoda. RNAcentral describes it as "snoRNA Plant_U3". The record is from RNAcentral. Lineage: Eukaryota; Viridiplantae; Streptophyta; Magnoliopsida; Amborellales; Amborellaceae.